UUCCUGGUUUCGAAGCUCUGAUGGAACCACACCAACCCAUCCCGAACUUGGUUGUGAAACAUCAGAGGAGCUACAAUACUAAGGCCGAGGGGCUUUGGGAAGAUAGCUUGAUGCCGGGAA
RNAcentral lists this ribosomal RNA (120 nucleotides) under Microthamnion kuetzingianum. The record is from RNAcentral. Lineage: Eukaryota; Viridiplantae; Chlorophyta; Trebouxiophyceae; Microthamniales; Microthamniaceae.